UUGACCUCAAAUCAGGUAGGACUACCCGCUGAACUUAAGCAUAUCAAUAAGCGGAGGAAAAGAAACUAACAAGGAUUCCCCUAGUAACUGCGAGUGAAGCGGGAAAAGCUCAAAUUUGAAAUCUGGCAGUUGUUGACUGUCCGAGUUGUAAUCUAGAGAAGUGUUACCUGUGCUGGACCGUGUGCAAGUCUCCUGGAAUGGAGCGUCAUAGAGGGUGAGAAUCCCGUCUUUAACACGGACUACCAUGUACAUUAUGGUGCGCUCUCAAAGAGUCGAGUUGUUUGGGAAUGCAGCUCAAAAUGGGUGGUAAAUGCCAUCUAAAGCUAAAUAUUGGCGAGAGACCGAUAGCGAACAAGUACCGUGAGGGAAAGAUGAAAAGAACUUUGGAAAGAGAGUUAAACAGUACGUGAAAUUGCUGAAAGGGAAACGCUUGAAGUCAGUCGCGUUGGCUAGAAAUCAGCCUUGCUUUUGCUUGGUGUACUUUCUGGUUGAUGGGUCAGCAUCAAUUUUGAUCACUGGAUAAAGUCUUUGGGAAUGUGGCAUCUUUGGAUGUGUUAUAGCCCAUYGUCGCAUACAGUGGUUGGGAUUGAGGAACUCAGCACGCCGCAAGGCCAGGUUUCGACCAUGUUCGUGCUUAGGAUGCUGGCAUAAUGGCUUUAAUCGACCCGUC
This 670-nucleotide ribosomal RNA is filed under the name Inocybe paludinella. Its description in RNAcentral is "eukaryotic LSU rRNA". It matches the Rfam family "Eukaryotic large subunit ribosomal RNA", at positions 1 to 653 of the family's 3401-position model. The record is from RNAcentral. Lineage: Eukaryota; Fungi; Basidiomycota; Agaricomycetes; Agaricales; Inocybaceae.